AGUCAAACCACUGGCUCAGUAGAGAUGCUGCAUUGUUGGGGAGCAGGAAGAUUCUAUGAGAAAAGAUAUUAAGACCCUCCGGUUUGGCCAUAUCAUUCCCCUAAUAGUGAUUUAAUACUCUGAGUUUGCGUGCUCUCUUCCCACUGAUGCUCUGAAUAUUUAGGUUUCCUCCCUCUGGCUUAGAGGCAGACCCUGUUUUCAAUCAAGGAUCAACCAACCAAAGGAUCCCCUUUGCAAGAAGUCACUUCCUUCCAAGGCCACAUGAACAUUUUGAAGUCACUCACAGUCUUGCCUUGGGAGGUUCUGCACCAUCUAGCCAUCGUGGUUGGGAAGAAGAGUCAACUUUAAAUCUAUGAUGCCUGUGAUCCUAAGAAUCCUCAUCUAAAACGUAUCAUGUUCUCCAUGGGCAUCAGAUGGUCACUGGGUCACUGGCUUGAGGAAAUUCACAAUGACUUUUCCACAUCACGGCUUUCCCUCAUUCAAGAGCUUCCCUUCAUGGAACAUUAUCUCUCCACCGCGGAGACGGAAGAAAAGGGGAGAUGUUUAAAAACAAGGGCGCCUGGCGGGAGUGAGAUGGCCAGACCCGAAGGGGCCCCCACGCACUCCUGUUCGUGUGUGUGCUGGGAACCCCUCUGGAAGUCGGGGAAAGCCUUUCUCGGAAAGGUGCUCGUAUUCGAAACCAUUUUCUUUUUCCAGUUACAUGUAGGAAACGAUUUUUAAAUGUACGAAAUAAAUGAUCGUACAAAGGAUUGCGCGAGAAACCU
RNAcentral lists this long non-coding RNA (764 nucleotides) under Monodelphis domestica (gray short-tailed opossum). Its description in RNAcentral is "lncRNA (ENSMODG00000032974.2)". The record is from RNAcentral. Lineage: Eukaryota; Metazoa; Chordata; Mammalia; Didelphimorphia; Didelphidae.